This 926-nucleotide long non-coding RNA is filed under the name Monodelphis domestica (gray short-tailed opossum). Its description in RNAcentral is "lncRNA (ENSMODG00000039427.1)". The record is from RNAcentral. Lineage: Eukaryota; Metazoa; Chordata; Mammalia; Didelphimorphia; Didelphidae.
AUUACCUCACAUGUCUAUUACUCUUAAAUUGCAGAACAAGGGCUAAUCAUUCUUAAUUGGUAAAGGUAGUUUUCUCACUGGGAAUUCCCUUUUAUUAAUGAAAUACUUUAAGGUAAAAAAAUAAUGAUGCAAAAGCAGCACUAGGUAAGAAGGCAAUAUAAAGGCAAAAAAGACGUCAUCUCUGCCUUUGGCAUUGGCCCUUUACUUUGUGACCAACAUCUAUCUCUCAGUGAUAUAAAGAAGUCGACAAGCUCAAUGUAAAGAAACAUUUCCCCAUAGUUAGAACUCCUGUUGCUUCAAAAGGAGAGAGGGCUACAAGAGAUAGUUGACUUACCCUUUAUGGUAGGUCUUCCAGCAAAGAUUUGGUAACCAUGGAUCAAUGAUGUUCUAGUUUCAUAGACCUGAACCAUUUUAUACUGGAGUUUGACAACACUGAUCUAGAUCCUGGUACAAUGAGAAGUAUGAGGAAGGAAAGAUAACUUUUAUCUGGAUCUGAAAGUCAAGAAAUUAUCAAAUUAAUAAACAGAUGAAAUUGGCUGGUUCUAGGACAUGGAUCAGAGGGAUGGUUGAGAAGAUCAGGAAAUUAUUCCAAUUUAAGAGAUCUUGAAGCAGCAUCUUGAAGGAAAAUAAAAUUUCUAAGAGGUAGAGAUGAGGAGGGAGUGAAUUUCAGGAAUGUUGGACAGUCAAUGCAAAGGUUCAGAUUCACAUGUGAAGUCACAUCAGAAGAAGAGACACAAGACCAGUUUCCCUAGACACAAGGGUUACAAAAACACCACAAUGAUACACCCAGGUUGUGGCUGCUAGGCAUACUCCAACUCCUUGAAGCCACAGAGAAGAGAUGGGUGAAAAGUGUACACCAAAGGUGGAUUUUCUUCAGCUAAAUCCCUUAGGGAUUUUCUUGGAAUAAAUACUAGAGUGGCAUGACA